Molecule: ribosomal RNA, 484 nt
Filed under: uncultured bacterium
Lineage: Bacteria
Description: partial 16S ribosomal RNA
Rfam family: Bacterial small subunit ribosomal RNA
Source: RNAcentral
AUUGAACGCUGGCGGCAGGCCUAACACAUGCAAGUCGAGCGGAUGAAGGGAGCUUGCUCCUGGAUUCAGCGGCGGACGGGUGAGUAAUGCCUAGGAAUCUGCCUGGUAGUGGGGGAUAACGUCCGGAAACGGGCGCUAAUACCGCAUACGUCCUGUGGGAGCAAGUGGGGGAUCUUCGGACCUCACGCUAUCAGAUGAGCCUAGGUCGGAUUAGCUAGUUGGUGGGGUAAAGGCCUACCAAGGCGACGAUCCGUAACUGGUCUGAGAGGAUGAUCAGUCACACUGGAACUGAGACACGGUCCAGACUCCUACGGGAGGCAGCAGUGGGGAAUAUUGGACAAUGGGCGAAAGCCUGAUCCAGCCAUGCCGCGUGUGUGAAGAAGGUCUUCGGAUUGUAAAGCACUUUAAGUUGGGAGGAAGGGCAGUAAGUUAAUACCUUGCUGUUUUGACGUUACCAACAGAAUAAGCACCGGCUAACUUCGUG